UACGGGGGGGGCAAGCGUUGUUCGGAAUUACUGGGCGUAAAGGGCUCGUAGGCGGCCAACUAAGUCACACGUGAAAUCCCCAGGCUUAACCUGGGAACUGCGUGUGAUACUGGAUGGCUAGAGUACGGUAGAGGGGGAUGGAAUUCCGCGUGUAGCAGUGAAAUGCGUAGAUAUGCGGAGGAACACCGAUGGCGAAGGCAAUCCCCUGGACCUGUACUGACGCUCAUGCACGAAAGCGUGGGGAGCAAACAGG
Molecule: ribosomal RNA, 253 nt
Filed under: uncultured bacterium
Lineage: Bacteria
Description: partial 16S ribosomal RNA
Rfam family: Bacterial small subunit ribosomal RNA
Source: RNAcentral